This 305-nucleotide ribosomal RNA is filed under the name uncultured bacterium. RNAcentral's name for it is "bacterial SSU rRNA". It matches the Rfam family "Bacterial small subunit ribosomal RNA", at positions 336 to 658 of the family's 1533-position model. The record is from RNAcentral.
UUCCUACGGGGGGCAGCAGUGGGGAAUAUUGCACAAUGGGGGAAACCCUGGUGCAGCGACGCCGCGUGGGUGAAGAAGUACUUCGGUACGUAAAGCCCUAUCAGCAGGGAAGAAAAUGACGGUACCUGAUUAAGAAGCCCCGGCUAACUACGUGCCAGCAGCCGCGGUAAUACGUAGGGGGCAAGCGUUAUCCGGAUUUACUGGGUGUAAAGGGAGCGUAGACGGCAUUGCAAGUCCGGAGUGAAAGCCCGGGGCCCAACCCCGGGACUGCUCUUGGAACUGCGUGGCUGGAGUGCAGGAGGGGG